UAUUAGCCCAUUGUUUCCACUACCAAUAAUUCUAAUUGGGUAUAUAACACUCUACUGCGUCACUGGUAUAACGAACGCGCAGCUGGUUAUCAGAAUUCAGAAACCCUAGUUUGUGAGUCUCUAAUUCUCCUUUGCUAUCAUCUCUGCUCUUGUUUUUCCUCAAUGAAUUUUGUAUCUAAUAUUAUUGAGUUGAUUUUUUAGAAGGUAAGAGGGAAAAAAAUGGCGGUGCCACUGUUGACCAAGAAGAUAGUGAAGAAGAGAGUUAAGCAGUUCAAGAGAGCUCAAAGUGACCGCAGAAUCACUGUCAAGGUAACUAACUCUUUUCAUGUUU
RNAcentral lists this long non-coding RNA (331 nucleotides) under Nicotiana tabacum (common tobacco). RNAcentral describes it as "long non-coding RNA (NTAB_LNC011741)". The record is from RNAcentral. Lineage: Eukaryota; Viridiplantae; Streptophyta; Magnoliopsida; Solanales; Solanaceae.